GACGAACGCUGGCGGCGUGCCUAAUACAUGCAAGUCGAGCGAACAGACGAGGAGCUUGCUCCUCUGACGUUAGCGGUGGACGGGUGAGUAACACGUGGAUAACCUACCUAUAAGACUGGGAUAACUUCGGGAAACCGGAGCUAAUACCGGAUAACAUGUUGAACCGCAUGGUUCAACAGUGAAAGACGGUCUUGCUGUCACUUAUAGAUGGAUCCGCGCCGCAUUAGCUAGUUGGUAAGGUAACGGCUUACCAAGGCAACGAUGCGUAGCCGACCUGAGAGGGUGAUCGGCCACACUGGAACUGAGACACGGUCCAGACUCCUACGGGAGGCAGCAGUAGGGAAUCUUCCGCAAUGGGCGAAAGCCUGACGGAGCAACGCCGCGUGAGUGAAGAAGGUCUUCGGAUCGUAAAACUCUGUUAUUAGGGAAGAACAAAUGUGUAAGUAACUAUGCACGUCUUGACGGUACCUAAUCAGAAAGCCACGGCUACUACGUGCCAGCCGCCGCGGUAA
Molecule: ribosomal RNA, 512 nt
Filed under: uncultured bacterium
Lineage: Bacteria
Description: partial 16S ribosomal RNA
Rfam family: Bacterial small subunit ribosomal RNA
Source: RNAcentral